Molecule: RNA transcript, 2230 nt
Organism: Solanum pennellii
Lineage: Eukaryota; Viridiplantae; Streptophyta; Magnoliopsida; Solanales; Solanaceae
Gene name: chaperone protein dnaJ 1, mitochondrial
Exons: 21
Source: RefSeq, a predicted model, not a curated record
UAUAGUAACUUAUAAAAACUUAGACCCAAUUAAAGCCGUCCCCAUAGAGCAUAAAAAGUGAAACAUUUUCAUUUUUUCAAGAUUGAACCAACAAUUAGACAGCAGUAGCUCUAGAAUUUCAAUUACAGAUUCUUUUACAACUCAAAAUGGGCAGACUGAGGUGGACAGGAGUUUCCCCAAAAUCUAUCAUUAAAAUUAUUUUGUCACAGCACUCAGUUUCUGCAAAAUCAAUGAUCAAUAAAGGGAAUGUGUGUACACAUGUUCCAGAAUAUCUACCUACAUUACUUAAAAAUCGAUCUUUGUACAGUUGCAGUUUUAUUGGUAAACCUAAUAGUUCUUCGACUAGGAGAUUUCCACCGUUGAAGCAUUUUUUCCAUUCCACCGGAGCUUGUUAUUCUGCAGAACGAGAUUACUAUGAAAUUCUAGGUGUAUCUAGAGAUUCUACUCGAGAUGAGAUUAAGAAGGCUUUUCAUGUGCUUGCAAAAAAAUACCACCCAGAUGCCAAUAAGAAUAAUCCAUCUGCGAAGAGGAAAUUUCAAGAGAUAAGAGAUGCAUAUGAGAUUCUGCAAAACCCACAGAAGAGAGCACAAUAUGACAUGAUGAAGGAGCAACCAAGCAACAACACAGAAAAUAUAAAUUAUAAUUAUGGGAAUGGCAAUGAUUUUAGAUAUACAUAUAGCACACAAUUCUCUGGUUCGUUUCAGAAAAUAUUUUCUGAGAUAUUUGAAAAUGAGGCUGAAAAUCUGACGCAAGACAUUCAGGUGGAGCUUUCUCUCUCUUUUUCUGAAGCUGCUAAAGGAUGCACAAAACAUCUAUCAUUUGAUGCAGAUGUACCAUGUGAUUCUUGCAGUGGUUUGGGCUAUCCAUUGAAUUCAACGCCAAAAGUAUGUCCAACUUGUCAAGGAGUUGGGAGAGUUACAAUCCCUCCAUUUACAGCAACUUGCAGUACCUGUAAAGGAUCUGGACGAGUCAUUAAGGAACGUUGUAGGGCAUGCAAAGCAUCAGGAGUUGUUGAAGCCAUUAAAGACGUUAAAGUAACUAUACCUGCCGGUGUUGACUCUGGUGAUACUAUUCGGGUGCCAAAAGCUGGUCAUGCUGGCAGGCGAGGGGUGCAGCCAGGCAGCUUAUUUAUAAAGCUAAAGGUUGCUAAAGAUCCUCUAUUUGCUAGAGAAGGAGCUGACCUUUAUGUGGAUUAUCAUAUCAGCUUUACAAAAGCUAUCCUUGGUGGUAAAGUUGAGGUACCAACUCUAUGUGGAAAGACAAAUAUACAGGUACCCAAGGGUGUUCAGCCUGGACAACUUGUGGUACUCCGAGGCAAAGGUUUGCCAAAGAGUGGAUUUCUGGUGAACCAUGGAGAUCAAUAUGUGCGGUUCCGUAUUGACUUUCCAACAGCAUUGAAUGAACGGCAGCGUGCUAUAAUGGAAGAAUUUGCACAGGAGGAAGUUGUUAAUGGAGAUUACAUGGAUGGAGAAGUAAAUUUGUAGGCCAGACCCAGUAGGUGGUUAGCAAAAUCUUGUAUACAGCCUUGAAGCUAUGUGUUUUUAUCUCUUUUCGGCUGUCCAUUAAGUUUGUUGCAUCACUUCCACUUAUUUUUCUUUUUUGGAUUCUAUUGUGGUAGGUUUCGUAAAUCAUGUCCUUCCUGAACUCGGGCUUUACCAGCAGCUCUCUACUGGUUGAACUUACAGGUGGCAGCAGUUGCUUGAACGCGUAUCAAACCCAAAGUUUGUGGUUGAAUUCUCACUCUUGAUAGUGAUUCUUCUAUUGUUAAUCAAAACACUAUGAUUGUGGAGGCGUCAGCUGUCCUAGGCAGAUACAAGAAUCCCUGAUUCAGCUGCUUUCAACAUCAUACCUGCACAGAGUUUGCUAGUCUCCGGCUUCAAUCUGAUCUGGAGAGAACUUCCCAAACAUCUACAGUCCUGGUAGCUAUAUCACAUACACAUGGUAGAGUCAUUUUUUAUCGUCGAGUUCAGAUUAUAUACUAGCAUUUAACAUGCCUAUAUAGUUCUCAAAAUAAAAAAGGAAGUGCCUAUUUUAUCCAAGGCCUUUUAUGAGAAAGUUGAGAGUUUCAGUAUAUCAUAGAAGUGUCCCUGUAUUUUCUACCUACAAAAAUUGUAGAGAAUUACUGAUAAGUCUCUGGAAUUUUGCAUAGUUCCAGUUGUACUCUUUAACAUGUUCUAUAUGUUUUAUUUGUUUUUGGGGGACUGAAAAAUAUAACUUUCUUUUUCCGCUA